This 618-nucleotide ribosomal RNA is filed under the name Heterosphaeria ovispora. RNAcentral describes it as "LSU rRNA". It matches the Rfam family "Eukaryotic large subunit ribosomal RNA", at positions 244 to 882 of the family's 3401-position model. The record is from RNAcentral. Lineage: Eukaryota; Fungi; Ascomycota; Leotiomycetes; Helotiales; Heterosphaeriaceae.
AUGUGAAGCUCUUUCGACGAGUCGAGUUGUUUGGGAAUGCAGCUCAAAAUGGGUGGUAAAUUUCAUCUAAAGCUAAAUAUUGGCCAGAGACCGAUAGCGCACAAGUAGAGUGAUCGAAAGAUGAAAAGCACUUUGGAAAGAGAGUUAAACAGUACGUGAAAUUGUUGAAAGGGAAGCGCUUGCAACCAGACUUGCACGUUGUCGAUCAUCCGGGGCUCGCCCCGGUGCACUCGAUUUCGUUCAGGCCAGCAUCGGUUUCGGUGGUGGGAUAAAGGCCUUGGGAAUGUAGCUUCUUUCGGGGAGUGUUAUAGCCCUCGGUGCAAUGCCGCCUACCGGGACCGAGGACCGCGCUUCGGCUAGGAUGCUGGCGUAAUGGUUGUAAGCGACCCGUCUUGAAACACGGACCAAGGAGUCUAACAUCUAUGCGAGUGUUUGGGUGUCAAACCCAUACGCGUAAUGAAAGUGAACGGAGGKGAGAACCCUUAAGGGUGCAUCAUCGACCGAUCCUGAUGUCUUCGGAUGGAUUUGAGUAAGAGCAUAGCUGUUGGGACCCGAAAGAUGGKGAACUAUGCGUGAAUAGGGUGAAGCCAGAGGAAACUCUGGUGGAGGCUCGCAGCG